Molecule: ribosomal RNA, 497 nt
Filed under: uncultured bacterium
Lineage: Bacteria
Description: partial 16S ribosomal RNA
Rfam family: Bacterial small subunit ribosomal RNA
Source: RNAcentral
GAUGAACGCUGGCGGCGUGCCUAAUACAUGCAAGUCGAGCGAACAGACGAGGAGCUUGCUCCUCUGACGUUAGCGGCGGACGGGUGAGUAACACGUGGAUAACCUACCUAUAAGACUGGGAUAACUUCGGGAAACCGGAGCUAAUACCGGAUAAUAUAUUGAACCGCAUGGUUCAAUAGUGAAAGACGGUUUUGCUGUCACUUAUAGAUGGAUCCGCGCCGCAUUAGCUAGUUGGUAAGGUAACGGCUUACCAAGGCGACGAUGCGUAGCCGACCUGAGAGGGUGACCGGCCACACUGGAACUGAGACACGGCCCAGACUCCUACGGGAGGCAGCAGUAGGGAAUCUUCCGCAAUGGGCGAAAGCCUGACGGAGCAACGCCGCGUGAGUGAUGAAGGUCUUCGGAUCGUAAAACUCUGUUAUUAGGGAAGAACAAAUGUGUAAGUAACUAUGCACGUCUUGACGGUACCUAAUCAGAAAGCCACGGCUAACUACGUG